GAUGGUUCCAGGGAAAGAACCCCUACGGUAUCCCCGAGGGCCUCUUUCAGAGGUAUAGUGCUCAAGUGGCUGGCUCAUGGGGACACCCCUGCCUUUUUGAGGCGGAACGGAUAGUUUCCAGAGGCAGCCGGAGGGCCUCUGUUUUAGAGGUAUGCUCACCAUACCCCCCAGGAUGUCAGCGGAAUGAUUAAUAAAUCUCUGUGAUCUACAACUGAAUCUGUCUGAACAAAGAACGAUAAGAAAAUGUUAAAACUUUCAGCAACGGAUCUCUUGGUUCUCGCAUCGAUGAAGAACGCAGCGAAAUGCGAUAAGUAGUGUGAAUUGCAGAAUUCCGUGAAUCAUCGAAUCUUUGAACGCACAUUGCGCCUUCUGGUAUUCCGGAAGGCAUGCCUGUUCGAGAGUCAUUAACAACCGUUUCGAUCCCUUUCUUUCAGAAAUUACAAAGAGGAAAAGGGUUUGGUUAUGGUGGAGGAGGGAAAGGGAGCGUUUAGCCUGUAAAAAAAGAGGCUGUGUUCCGCCUCCCCCCCAAAAUUGUACAGGCGGUCGUGUGCGCCCACGCAUCGAGGUGUUGUAAAAGCUGCCACGGCACUUUUCACCUGUGCAGUGCGAGAUUGGCCAGCCGGUUAAAAACCCCUCCAAACAAUCAAAGGUGAC
This 654-nucleotide ribosomal RNA is filed under the name uncultured Pezizales. RNAcentral describes it as "eukaryotic LSU rRNA". The stretch from base 251 to 404 matches the Rfam family "5.8S ribosomal RNA". The record is from RNAcentral. Lineage: Eukaryota; Fungi; Ascomycota; Pezizomycetes; Pezizales.